RNAcentral lists this long non-coding RNA (506 nucleotides) under Rhinopithecus roxellana (golden snub-nosed monkey). RNAcentral describes it as "lncRNA (ENSRROG00000045851.1)". Lineage: Eukaryota; Metazoa; Chordata; Mammalia; Primates; Cercopithecidae. The record is from RNAcentral.
CUAAUCUUCAAAAUCCAAACAUUCCAAGCCCCGUCCUUUUGUGCAGGCAUCUCGCUGUCUGCGCUGGGCACGGAGCGGCGCGCGCGCGCCCGCCUUUCCCUCGGCGGCCCCCGGCGGCUCGGACCCGGGCCGGCAGACAGGCCAUCCAUCAUCCGCCCUCCUCCCGCCGAGCGCCGCCGCCGCGGCCAAUCCGGCGGCAGGUGGGACCGCACCUGCGGGACUGCCCGCCGCUUUCCUCCGCUCUCUUCGCCGCGCCUCGCGUGCUAGCGGUGUCCUUGUGAGCCACUGCUUUCUCCAAGGCCAGAACGGGACAGUUGACGAUGGUCCUACUUCUCCAUGUUCUGAGACCAGUUGAAACAAAAACAAAAACCAGACAACAACCUUGCAAGGGAAAGAAUUCAGAGUAAAUAAACAGUCUUUUUCUGUGAAGCAAAAUAUUUCCCUAAGGUAAGUUACUUUUCCAAGGGAAUUAUGGCAUAUCUCAAUGUGGACUAACAGGCGCUUUC